CUGCUGCCUUCCGUAGGAGUUUGGACCGUGUCUCAGUUCCAAUGUGGGGGACCUUCCUCUCAGAACCCCUACGCAUCGUCGGCUUGGUGGGCCGUUGCCCCACCAACUACCUAAUGCGCCGCAUGCCCAUCCGUGACCGGGGUCGCCCCCUUUGGCCGGCAGGGGAUGUCCCCUCCCGGCAUUAUGUUCGUAUUUAGGCGGGAUUUCUCCCGGUUAUCCAUCUGUCACGGCCAGGUUGCAUACCGUGUUACUCACCCGUGCGCCGGUCGCCGGCGG
Molecule: ribosomal RNA, 276 nt
Filed under: uncultured bacterium
Lineage: Bacteria
Description: partial 16S ribosomal RNA
Source: RNAcentral